UACGUAGGGGGCAAGCGUUAUCCGGAUUUACUGGGUGUAAAGGGAGCGUAGACGGUGAUGCAAGUCAGAAGUGAAAGCCCGGGGCUCAACCUGUGGACUGCUUUGGAAACUGUGCAGCUUGAGUGUCGGAGAGGCAAGUGGAAUUCCUAGUGUAGCGGUGAAAUGCGUAGAUAUUAGGAGGAACACCAGUGGCGAAGGCGGCUUGCUGGACGAUGACUGACGUUGAGGCUCGAAAGCGUGGGGAGCAAACAGG
RNAcentral lists this ribosomal RNA (253 nucleotides) under uncultured Dorea sp. RNAcentral's name for it is "partial 16S ribosomal RNA". It matches the Rfam family "Bacterial small subunit ribosomal RNA", at positions 524 to 776 of the family's 1533-position model. Lineage: Bacteria; Bacillati; Bacillota; Clostridia; Lachnospirales; Lachnospiraceae. The record is from RNAcentral.